RNAcentral lists this ribosomal RNA (1492 nucleotides) under metagenome. RNAcentral describes it as "bacterial SSU rRNA". It matches the Rfam family "Bacterial small subunit ribosomal RNA". The record is from RNAcentral.
AGAGUUUGAUCCUGGCUCAGGAUGGACGCUAGCUACAGGCUUAACACAUGCAAGUCGAGGGGAAACGAUAUUGGAAGCUUGCUUCCGAUAGGCGUCGACCGGCGCACGGGUGAGUAACGCGUAUCCAACCUGCCCAUCACUUGGGAAUAACCUUGCGAAAGUAAGACUAAUGCCCAAUGACAUUUAUAGAAGGCAUCGGAAAUGAAUUAAAGAUUUAUCGGCGAUGGAUGGGGAUGCGUCUGAUUAGCUUGUUGGCGGGGUAACGGCCCACCAAGGCGACGAUCAGUAGGGGUUCUGAGAGGAGGGUCCCCCACAUUGGAACUGAGACACGGUCCAAACUCCUACGGGAGGCAGCAGUGAGGAAUAUUGGUCAAUGGGCGAGAGCCUGAACCAGCCAAGUAGCGUGCAGGAUGACGGCCCUAUGGGUUGUAAACUGCUUUUAUAGGGGAAUAAAGUGAGCCACGUGUGGUUUUUUGCAUGUACCCUAUGAAUAAGGACCGGCUAAUUCCGUGCCAGCAGCCGCGGUAAUACGGAAGGUCCGGGCGUUAUCCGGAUUUAUUGGGUUUAAAGGGAGCGUAGGCCGGAGAUUAAGCGUGUUGUGAAAUGUAGAUGCUCAACAUCUGCACUGCAGCGCGAACUGGUUUCCUUGAGUACGCAUAAAGUGGGCGGAAUUCGUGGUGUAGCGGUGAAAUGCUUAGAUAUCACGAAGAACUCCGAUUGCGAAGGCAGCUCACUGGGGCGCAACUGACGCUGAAGCUCGAAAGCGCGGGUAUCGAACAGGAUUAGAUACCCUGGUAGUCCGCGCGGUAAACGAUGGAUGCCCGCUGUUGGGCCAACUGGUUCAGCGGCCAAGCGAAAGCAUUAAGCAUCCCACCUGGGGAGUACGCCGGCAACGGUGAAACUCAAAGGAAUUGACGGGGGCCCGCACAAGCAGUGGAGUAUGUGGUUUAAUUCGACGCAACGCGAAGAACCUUACCAAGUCUUGACAUCCUGCGACGCACAUAGAAAUAUGUGUUUCCUUCGGGACGCAGAGACAGGUGGUGCAUGGUUGUCGUCAGCUCGUGUCGUGAGAUGUUGGGUUAAGUCCCGCAACGAGCGCAACCCUUAUGGUCAGUUACUACGCAAGAGGACUCUGGCCAGACUGCCGUUGACGAAACGGAGGAAGGUGGGGAUGACGUCAAAUCAUCAUGCCCUUUAUGACUUGGGCUACACACGUACUACAAUGGCGUUAAACAAAGAGAAGCAAGACCGCGAGGUGGAGCAAAACUCAGAAACAACGUCCCAGUUCGGACUGCAGGCUGCAACUCGCCUGCACGAAGUCGGUAUUGCUAGUAAUCGCAGAUCAGCAUGCUGCGGUGAAUACGUUCCCGGGCCUUGUACACACCGCCCGUCACACCAUGAGAGCCGGGGGGACCCGAAGUCGGUAGUCUAACCGCAAGGAGGACGCCGCCGAAGGUAAAACUGGUGAUUGGGGUGAAGUCGUAACAAGGUA